Molecule: non-coding RNA, 548 nt
Organism: Monodelphis domestica (gray short-tailed opossum)
Lineage: Eukaryota; Metazoa; Chordata; Mammalia; Didelphimorphia; Didelphidae
Source: RefSeq, a predicted model, not a curated record
UCCCGGGCCUCCCCGCCUCAGCCGCAGCAGCCGCCGCCGCAGACACAGCCCAACUCCGCCCCGGGAAAAAGAGGCGGAGCAGCCGCCAGGGCGGCUCGGGGCCCCAGCACUCUGGCCUGGAGGAGGAGCUGGGGCGGGGAAUCAACAAAGUAGCAAUAAAGUUCCAAGGCAGAAGAGCAGUAAGGGCCAGGAAUUUGGGGUUAAGUGACUGCCCAGAGUCACACAGCUAGUUCUAAACAAGGAGAAUGGAGUCCCAGAUCUGAAAAAUCAAGCCACAGAGACCUUUGAACAAGAAUUCCAAGUGGGAUGUUGCUGCCAGCCCAGCAAAUGAGCCAAGCAGAGCCAACGUGCUGGGAGGCAAGCCCAGGAGGGCUUUGGACUUGGAACUUGAUGGGACUAAUGCUAGAUAGGAAUUGAGCUAGGCUGUAAACCUAAUUCUCUUCAUAGAGACAGAGGGAAUUUAGGGCCGAUCAUGCUUCCCAGGAGUUGGGGCAGUAUUUGUAUGUGUUUGCUAUACCUUUGAAAUAAAUAUUCCUUUUUAAAAUCCA